Long non-coding RNA from Mercenaria mercenaria, 370 nucleotides. RefSeq lists it as uncharacterized. Lineage: Eukaryota; Metazoa; Mollusca; Bivalvia; Venerida; Veneridae. The transcript has 3 exons. The record is from RefSeq and is a predicted model, not a curated record.
UGUUCAUGUUGUUGGAGGCAAAUGGAAUAAAGCUAACUUGAAACUCUAAAAUGUUUUUAGAGGGAUAUCAGAUGAAAGAAUGUGCAUAUCUAGUUAUUAGAAGUAUGCCUUCAACACAUAUGUAUGAAUUGAUGUAGUCAGAGAAAUCAGAUGGCUUCAGUGACUAUGCUAUGUACAGGAUGAUGUGAGAUCACAGACAGAAAUCCCAUCAAACAUAAAUUACAGAAUAUUUCAACUAAAUUAAAUGGCUGGAAUGAAGUUCCUGACCCAGGUGAUGGUUUUGGAAAAGCAAAGAGACAUUCUGAUGCCACCUUAUAUUGAGCCUACAAUACUCCAAAAAUGAUUUUGUUGUAUUCAUAACUUUCCACCA